CAGCCGCCGCGGUAAUACGUAGGUGGCAAGCAUUGUCCGGAAUUAUUGGGCGUAAAGGGCUCGCAGGCGGUUUCUUAAGUCUGAUGUGAAAGCCCCCGGCUCAACCGGGGAGGGUCAUUGGAAACUGGGAAACUUGAGUGCAGAAGAGGAGAGUGGAAUUCCACGUGUAGCGGUGAAAUGCGUAGAGAUGCGGAGGAACACCAGUGGCGAAGGCGACUCUCUGGUCUGUAACUGACGCUGAGGAGCGAAAGCGUGGGGAGCGAACAGGAUUAGAUACCCCUGUAGUCCCUGUCUCUUAUAC
RNAcentral lists this ribosomal RNA (301 nucleotides) under uncultured bacterium. RNAcentral describes it as "partial 16S ribosomal RNA". It matches the Rfam family "Bacterial small subunit ribosomal RNA", at positions 509 to 807 of the family's 1533-position model. The record is from RNAcentral.